GAACGGAGACUUACGAGUUCGGAAAGUAGCUUGCUACCGGAAGAACAUGUAAGUUUUAGUGGCGGACGGGUGAGUAACGCGUGAGCAAUCUGCCUUUAAGAGGGGGAUAACAACGGGAAACUGUUGCUAAUACCGCAUAAGAUGGUAUCUCGGCAUCGAGGAGCCAUAAAAGGAGCAAUCCGCUUAAAGAUGAGCUCGCGUCCGAUUAGAUAGUUGGUGAGGUAACGGCUCACCAAGUCUACGAUCGGUAGCCGAACUGAGAGGUUGAUCGGCCACAUUGGGACUGAGACACGGCCCAGACUCCUACGGGAGGCAGCAGUGGGGGAUAUUGCGCAAUGGAGGAAACUCUGACGCAGCAACGCCGCGUGAAGGAAGAAGGCCUUCGGGUUGUAAACUUUUGUCUUCAGGGACGAUAACGACGGUACCUGAAGAGGAAGCUCCGGCUAACUACGUGCCAGCAGCCGCGGUAAUACGUAGGGAGCGAGCGUUGUCCGGAAUUACUGGGUGUAAAGGGUGCGUAGGCGGGAGAUAAAGUCAGAUGUGAAAUACCGAGGCUUAACUUCGGGGCUGCAUUUGAAACUUAUCUUCUUGAGUGAAGUAGAGGCAAGCGGAAUUCCCAGUGUAGCGGUGAAAUGCGUAGAUAUUGGGAGGAACACCAGUGGCGAAGGCGGCUUGCUGGGCUUUAACUGACGCUGAGGCACGAAAGCAUGGGUAGCAAACAGGAUUAGAUACCCUGGUAGUCCAUGCUGUAAACGAUGGAUACUAGGUGUGGGAGGUAUUGACCCCUUCCGUGCCGGAGUAAACACAAUAAGUAUCCCACCUGGGGAGUACGACCGCAAGGUUGAAACUCAAAGGAAUUGACGGGGGCCCGCACAAGCAGUGGAGUAUGUGGUUUAAUUCGAAGCAACGCGAAGAACCUUACCAGGUCUUGACAUCCAACUAACGAAGUAGAGAUACAUUAGGUGCCCUUCGGGGAAAGUUGAGACAGGUGGUGCAUGGUUGUCGUCAGCUCGUGUCGUGAGAUGUUGGGUUAAGUCCCGCAACGAGCGCAACCCUUACGGUUAGUUGCUACGCAAGAGCACUCUAGCCGGACUGCCGUUGAUAAAACGGAGGAAGGUGGGGACGACGUCAAAUCAUCAUGCCCUUUAUGACCUGGGCUACACACGUACUACAAUGGCGCAAAACAGAGGGAAGCAAAAUAGCGAUAUGGAGCAAAUCCCUAAAAGGCGUCUCAGUUCAGAUUGCAGGCUGCAACUCGCCUGCAUGAAGUCGGAAUUGCUAGUAAUCGCAGAUCAGCAUGCUGCGGUGAAUACGUUCCCGGGCC
Molecule: ribosomal RNA, 1324 nt
Filed under: uncultured bacterium
Lineage: Bacteria
Description: bacterial SSU rRNA
Rfam family: Bacterial small subunit ribosomal RNA
Source: RNAcentral